RNAcentral lists this long non-coding RNA (726 nucleotides) under Fukomys damarensis (Damara mole-rat). RNAcentral's name for it is "lncRNA (ENSFDAG00000025024.1)". The record is from RNAcentral. Lineage: Eukaryota; Metazoa; Chordata; Mammalia; Rodentia; Bathyergidae.
UGGGCCCGUGCAGCAGCUCAGGGGUAUGAGUACUCUGGAGGGAGCCCUCCCGAACUAUCUAGAGGAGGAGAUGGGGAGCACUGCUAACAUGGCAGCUACAGCCUUGUGAUUGGUCCAAGUACAGGCCUGUGAUUGGUGCAGGUCUCCAGGACAGCCUCUGUUGUCAUGCUGGGGAUCCAGUGAGGGGCAGGUCUGGAAUGAAGGAAUCUUCUGGAAGGCUAGGUGUGGGCCCAGAUCCCUCCCUCCCUUCAAAAAGGCAACAGUGGCACCUGAAGACUGAAGUCAGGGAGGGACCUAAGUGGAGUACAGGAGGGUGGCUGUGAGAAAACCAGGGCGACUCUGAGGUCCUUGAAGGAUGCAAGUUGUCUUGGCUCUGGCGGCUCCUGGACAUGUGACCUUGGGCUGAUUUCUGAAGCCUCAGCCUCCUCAUCACCGGUAGGGAGUAGCGGGCUUUCUACCUUACCAGUGCACACUGCACACUGCACUUCCUCACCGGGGCCUUCUCAGGUUCCAGAUGCACACAUCGCUUGCUCUUGCAGGAUAGCAGUGCCAGACAUUAGUGCCGCCCCAAGCAGCCAGUGCCUGGGAAGCUGGGUGAGUUCUGAGAUGUGUAUUCUGUACCAUUUCCCAGAAUCUCCCCUGCAGCACCCGCUCCAGCCUCCUGCAGGGCUAACCUGCCUGGGGAUGUCCGUCCUGUGUUUCCACUGGCACCUGCCCACUGCCUGA